RNAcentral lists this ribosomal RNA (657 nucleotides) under uncultured archaeon. Its description in RNAcentral is "bacterial SSU rRNA". It matches the Rfam family "Archaeal small subunit ribosomal RNA", at positions 1 to 659 of the family's 1478-position model. The record is from RNAcentral.
UUCCGGUUGAUCCUGCCGGCGGACAUUGCUAUUGGGAUUCGAUUUAGCCAUGCUAGUUGUACUAACUUAGAUUCGUAGCAGAUAGCUCAGUAACACGUGGCCAAGCUACCCUUCAGACUACGAUACCCUCGGGAAACUGAGACUAAUAGUAGAUACGGUACGCACGCUGGAAUGCAGCGUACUCCAAACGUUCCGACGCUGAAGGAUGCGGCUGCGGCCGAUUAGGUAGACGGUGGGGUAACGGCCCACCGUGCCAAUAAUUGGUACGGGUGAUGAGAGUCAGAGCCCGGAGACGGAAUCUGAGACAAGAUUCCGGGCCCUACGGGGCGCAGCAGGCGCGAAACCUUUACACUGCACGGAAGUGCGAUAGGGGAAUCCCAAGUGCGAGGGCAUAUUAGCCCUCGCUUUUGUUGACUGUAAGGAGGUCAACGAAUAAGAGCUGGGCAAGACCGGUGCCAGCCGCCGCGGUAAUACCGGCAGCUCGAGUGAUGUCCCAUUUUAUUGGGCCUAAAGCGUCCGUAGCUGGCCAGCCAAGUUCGUCGGGAAAUCCACCUGCCCAACAGGUGGGCGUCCGGCGAAAACUGUCUGGCUUGGAACCGGAAGGCUCAGAGGGUACGUCUGGGGUAGGAGUGAAAUCCUGUAAUCCCAGACGGACCA